This 379-nucleotide unclassified non-coding RNA is filed under the name uncultured Micrococcales bacterium. Its description in RNAcentral is "contains 16S-23S intergenic spacer region". The record is from RNAcentral. Lineage: Bacteria; Bacillati; Actinomycetota; Actinomycetes; Micrococcales.
UCCGAGUUGACCCCGGCAGUAUCCCAUGAGUUCCCACCAUUACGUGCUGGCAACAUAGAACGAGGGUUGCGGUCGUUGCGGGACUUAACCCAACAUCUCACGACACGAGCUGACGACAACCAUGCACCACCUGUCCACCAGCCCCGAAGGGAAACCCCAUCUCUGGGGCGGUCCGGUGAAUGUCAAGCCUUGGUAAGGUUCUUCGCGUUGCAUCGAAUUAAUCCGCAUGCUCCGCCGCUUGUGCGGGCCCCCGUCAAUUCCAUUGAGUUUUAGCCUUGCGGCCGUACUCCCCAGGCGGGGCACUUAAUGCGUUAGCUACGGCACGGAGGGAGUUGACGUCCCCCCACACCUAGUGCCCAACGUUUACGGCGUGGACUAC